RNAcentral lists this long non-coding RNA (244 nucleotides) under Trifolium pratense (red clover). RNAcentral describes it as "long non-coding RNA (TPRA_LNC009375)". Lineage: Eukaryota; Viridiplantae; Streptophyta; Magnoliopsida; Fabales; Fabaceae. The record is from RNAcentral.
UUUAUAGGCUUCAAAAUAACAUAAAUAUAAUGAAUUUUAUAUUUUCUACCUUUAAAAGACACAAAAUUAUUUCAAACCAUUAUAUUAAAAAUUGUAUAUAAUAUACCACCGCAAGACUUAAACUUUUGUCCUAUCAGUAUUCAGUCCACUAGACCGUCUAAUCUAGUUUGGAUGUCAGUUUUGGCACAAGUGGUUUCGGCCUCCUCCUGAUCGCAGUUGGGGAUAUCGAACUGUAGUCCUCCCU